GCUCAGAGUAUAAGCCAAUGGAGCUUGGAAGGCUUCCGCAGUCAUAGUCCAUCAUACGUGGUGUUCUUAAGACCUUGAGUAUGGUUCGUCAUGCUAAGCAUUGAGUUUGCCAAGUAAGCUGUCGUGCGGGGGAUCCGUCUGGGGGGCUGAGGCUUCGGCCGAAGUGCUUCCAGGCGCCCCUUUUGAAUGGACGUUCAGAGGCUCUUGUGUCUAAUGCGGUUAUGCCCACCACAGCACGUUGUGAGGUCACCCACAGGCUCAAACUGCCGAUCGCGCAUCCAGGACGAUGGCAACGAUGCGUUGUUGACGAUGGCUCCAGAGAGAGAAUUCGCUCACACGCGUGUCUAGUCCUGGGUCGGGCGGCGACCGAGAUAAACCUGGUAUGAUCCUCUUGCGACGAGCUGCUUUCUGGCCAGACCGACGCCCGGACGCCUCCACUGUGCCGGAAGCGUCAACCCCAGGCGGUGUGAACCCAGCUGCAUUAUGCAAGGUCUCUCAGCCGGGCGUUGGUCUGAGUGGUGUUAAGUCCAGCACCAUCGGUCACGUCUCGAAACACGGGCCAAGGAGUAUAGCAUGUGUGCAAGUCUAAGGGUCUCACAAAACCCGAAGGCGAAGUGAAAGCAAGACUGUGGCGGGUGAGCUACGGCAAACCCGCCGGCCUAGUGACGCUUGCGUCGCUGGCUUUUGGCAGAGCUGAUCCUGUUUUCUCGGUUAAUUCUUGGUGCAGGCGCAAGCUCCGGGCUCACGUACAACACUGGUCACGCCUCGUG
This 770-nucleotide ribosomal RNA is filed under the name Niphargus murimali. RNAcentral's name for it is "partial 28S ribosomal RNA". Lineage: Eukaryota; Metazoa; Arthropoda; Malacostraca; Amphipoda; Niphargidae. The record is from RNAcentral.